GCUUGUCUCAAAGAUUAAGCCAUGCAUGUCUAAGUAUAAGCAUUAUACAGUGAAACUGCGAAUGGCUCAUUAUAUCAGUUAUAGUUUAUUUGAUAGUCCCUACUAUUUGGAUAACCGUAGUAAUUCUAGAGCUAAUACAUGCAUCAAGCAGUCUCACGGCUGUGUAUUUAUUAGAUACAAUCAGCCCCCUCGGGGUCAUGAUGAAUCAUAAUAACUGAACGAAGCGCAUGCUCACGCGGCGCUGUUUCAUUCAAGUUUCUGCCCUAUCAGCUUUCGAUGGUAGUGUAUUGGACUACCAUGGCAGUAACGGGUAACGAAGAAUUAGGGUUCGAUUUCGGAGAGGGAGCAUGAGAAACGGCUACCACAUCUAAGGAAGGCAGCAGG
This 384-nucleotide ribosomal RNA is filed under the name uncultured Bicosoecida. RNAcentral's name for it is "partial small subunit ribosomal RNA". It matches the Rfam family "Eukaryotic small subunit ribosomal RNA", at positions 30 to 432 of the family's 1831-position model. The record is from RNAcentral. Lineage: Eukaryota; Bigyra; Bicosoecida.